Molecule: non-coding RNA, 227 nt
Organism: Paramuricea clavata
Lineage: Eukaryota; Metazoa; Cnidaria; Anthozoa; Malacalcyonacea; Plexauridae
Source: the annotation of a GenBank genome assembly
UACAUAAAUCCUGCAAGAUCAUGGAAAGAUCUUGCAUGAUCUUGCAAGAUCUUUCCAAGUUCUUGCAGGAUCUUACCUAAGAUCUUGCAGGAUCUUGCAAGAUCUUUCCAUGUUCUUGCAGGAUCUUACCUAAGAUCUUGCAAGAUCUUGCCAUUAUCAUGGCAAGAUCUUGCCAUUAUCAUGGCAAGAUCUUGCAGGAUUUGUACCAAGAUCAUGCCAAGAUCUUA